RNAcentral lists this ribosomal RNA (521 nucleotides) under uncultured bacterium. RNAcentral describes it as "bacterial SSU rRNA". It matches the Rfam family "Archaeal small subunit ribosomal RNA", at positions 345 to 866 of the family's 1478-position model. The record is from RNAcentral.
AACCUCCGCAAUGUGAGAAAUCGCGACGGGGGGAUCCCAAGUGCCAUUCUUAACGGGAUGGCUUUUCAUUAGUGUAAAGAGCUUUUGGAAUAAGAGCUGGGCAAGACCGGUGCCAGCCGCCGCGGUAACACCGGCAGCUCUAGUGGUAGCAGUUUUUAUUGGGCCUAAAGCGUCCGUAGCCGGUUUAAUAAGUCUCUGGUGAAAUCCUGUAGCUUAACUGUGGGAAUUGCUGGAGAUACUAUUAGACUCGAGAUCGGGAGAGGUUAGAGGUACUCCCAGGGUAGAGGUGAAAUUCUGUAAUCCUGGGAGGACCGCCUGUUGCGAAGGCUUCUAACUGGAACGAUUCUGACGGUGAGGGACGAAAGUUAGAGGCGCGAACCGGAUUAGAUACCCGGGUAGUCCUAACUGUAAACGAUGCGGACUUGGUGUUGGGGUGGCUUUGAGCUACUCCAGUGCCGAAGGGAAGCUGUUAAGUCCGCCGCCUGGGAAGUACGGUCGCAAGACUGAAACUUAAAGGAAUU